CAGCAGCCGCGGUAAUACAGAGGAUGCAAGCGUUAUCCGGAAUGAUUGGGCGUAAAGCGUCUGUAGGUGGCUUUUCAAGUCCGCUGUCAAGUCCCAGGGCUCAACCCUGGACAGGCGGUGGAAACUACCAAGCUGGAGUACGUUAGGGGCAGAGGGAAUUUCCGGUGGAGCGGUGUAAUGCGUUGAGAUCGGAAAGAACACCAACGGCGAAAGCACUCUGCUGGGCCGACACUGACACUGAGAGACGAAAGCUAGGGGAGCAAAUGGGAUUAGAUACCCGCGUAGUCCCUGUCUCUUAUAA
RNAcentral lists this ribosomal RNA (301 nucleotides) under uncultured bacterium. Its description in RNAcentral is "partial 16S ribosomal RNA". It matches the Rfam family "Bacterial small subunit ribosomal RNA", at positions 509 to 809 of the family's 1533-position model. The record is from RNAcentral.